This 474-nucleotide ribosomal RNA is filed under the name Marionina cf. argentea MK-2019. RNAcentral describes it as "partial large subunit ribosomal RNA". It matches the Rfam family "Bacterial large subunit ribosomal RNA", at positions 1819 to 2597 of the family's 2925-position model. RNAcentral also lists the same sequence under 1 other name. Lineage: Eukaryota; Metazoa; Annelida; Clitellata; Enchytraeida; Enchytraeidae. The record is from RNAcentral.
UAUUUCUUGCAUAUUUAUUAGAAACAUGUCUCCUGCCCAGUGAACUAUUCAACGGCUGCGGUAUCCUAACCGUACAAAGGUAGCAUAAUAAUUUGCCCAUUAAUUGUGGGAUAGAAUGAAAGGAAAAAUGAGAGAACAGCUCUAUCAUUAACACAAAUAAAAACUAACAUUUAGGUGAAGAGGCCUAAAUACAGCUAAAGGACAAGAAGACCCUAUAGAGCUUUAAUGUAACUAAACAACAUUUAUUCACAUUUCGGUUGGGGCGACCUAGGAAUAAUCAUCCAAUAAAUAUAGACAUACCUGUCAUAACAAAGAUCCUUAUUAGAUCAUAGAACCAAGUUACCUUAGGGAUAACAGGCUAAUUUUAUUUUAGAGUUCAUAUCUACAAUAAAGAUUGGCACCUCGAUGUUGGCUUAGAAUUUCUAAUAAAACGCAAAAGUUUAUUCAGAAGGUUUGUUCAACCUAUAAUAUUCU